This 432-nucleotide ribosomal RNA is filed under the name uncultured bacterium. Its description in RNAcentral is "partial 16S ribosomal RNA". It matches the Rfam family "Bacterial small subunit ribosomal RNA", at positions 29 to 506 of the family's 1533-position model. The record is from RNAcentral.
AACGAACGCUGGCGGCAUGCCUAACACAUGCAAGUCGAACGAGACCUUCGGGUCUAGUGGCGCACGGGUGCGUAACGCGUGGGAACCUGCCCUUAGGUUCGGAAUAACUCCCCGAAAGGGGUGCUAAUACCGGAUAAUGUCUUCGGACCAAAGAUUUAUCGCCUUUGGAUGGGCCCGCGUUGGUUUAGCUAGUUGGUAGGGUAAAAGCCUACCAAGGCGACGAUCCAUAGCUGGUCUGAGAGGAUGAUCAGCCACACUGGGACUGAGACACGGCCCAGACUCCUACGGGAGGCAGCAGUGGGGAAUAUUGGACAAUGGGCGAAAGCCUGAUCCAGCAAUGCCGCGUGAGUGAUGAAGGCCUUAGGGUUGUAAAGCUCUUUUACCCGGGAUGAUAAUGACAGUACCGGGAGAAUAAGCUCCGGCUAACUCCGU